This 492-nucleotide ribosomal RNA is filed under the name uncultured bacterium. RNAcentral describes it as "partial 16S ribosomal RNA". It matches the Rfam family "Bacterial small subunit ribosomal RNA", at positions 29 to 507 of the family's 1533-position model. The record is from RNAcentral.
AGUGAACGCUGGCGGUAGGCCUAACACAUGCAAGUCGAACGGCAGCACAGUAAGAGCUUGCUCUUACGGGUGGCGAGUGGCGGACGGGUGAGGAAUACAUCGGAAUCUACUUUUUCGUGGGGGAUAACGUAGGGAAACUUACGCUAAUACCGCAUACGACCUACGGGUGAAAGCAGGGGAUCUUCGGACCUUGCGCGAUUGAAUGAGCCGAUGUCGGAUUAGCUAGUUGGCGGGGUAAAGGCCCACCAAGGCGACGAUCCGUAGCUGGUCUGAGAGGAUGAUCAGCCACACUGGAACUGAGACACGGUCCAGACUCCUACGGGAGGCAGCAGUGGGGAAUAUUGGACAAUGGGCGCAAGCCUGAUCCAGCCAUACCGCGUGGGUGAAGAAGGCCUUCGGGCUGUAAAGCCCUUUUGUUGGGAAAGAAAAGCAGCAGGUUAAUACCCCGCUGUUCUGACGGUACCCGAAGAAUAAGCACCGGCUAACUUCGUG